Long non-coding RNA from Numida meleagris (helmeted guineafowl), 485 nucleotides. RefSeq lists it as uncharacterized. The transcript has 3 exons. Lineage: Eukaryota; Metazoa; Chordata; Aves; Galliformes; Numididae. The record is from RefSeq and is a predicted model, not a curated record.
UCCUGUAGGACCUUAAUAUUUAUUUCACAGAGGCAAUUUGGGCGCAGCUGGUGGCCAGCCCAACCCAACCCCAAAAGUCGUGAGUUAUCGCACCUGUGUUAGUGUUUGACAGGAGGGAUCCCGGAGCAGCUGGCAGUCAUCGCUCCGCAGCAAUGCUCCAUUCUGCUCCGGACAAUCUGGGUCCACCCAGCAAAGCAGCUCCUCCGAUCUGCUGCAACCCCGGAGCGAAGCGUGCAGAGCAUCGGGAGGAAAUUUAAUUUCGGCGAAACCUGGCGCAAAGCUCCGAAGCCGGAGGGUCCGAGAAAGCGGCGCAAAGGGAAAAAGGAGCCGCGAGGGCUGUACUUACAGUGACACUGCGCCGGGCACGAGGGCACAGCGCCCUGCUCCGCCGCUCGGACGUGGGCAGAGCACGCCAGCAGAACGCCCCAGAAGAUGAAGCGCUCCAUCCUCAGCUCGCUGCAAGCAGAGAGAAGCCGGGGGGGCUC